GCCGAAGUGGUGAAACUGGUAUACACGCUUGCCUUAGGAGCACGUGCCUUCGGGCGUGCGGGUUCGAGUCCCGCCUUCGGCACCA
Molecule: transfer RNA, 85 nt
Filed under: Candidatus Magasanikbacteria bacterium CG10_big_fil_rev_8_21_14_0_10_43_6
Lineage: Bacteria; Candidatus Magasanikiibacteriota
Description: tRNA-Leu
Rfam family: tRNA
About the family: Transfer RNA (tRNA) molecules are approximately 80 nucleotides in length. Their secondary structure includes four short double-helical elements and three loops (D, anti-codon, and T loops).
Source: RNAcentral